Molecule: ribosomal RNA, 1083 nt
Filed under: Triticum aestivum (bread wheat)
Lineage: Eukaryota; Viridiplantae; Streptophyta; Magnoliopsida; Poales; Poaceae
Description: partial small subunit ribosomal RNA
Source: RNAcentral
CGUUCGAAUUCCCGGAUUGAAAUUAUUGUUCUAACAGUGAUAGGUGUCCUGACUCUCAUGCUUGCUGGUCUGGUGCUUUUGUGGAGAAGCAAAAGAAAGUUAUUCAUAAAAAGACUUGUGAACUCCAGUAAUGGCCUUACGAUCUUCUCAAAUGCGCAGAUAAAAAAAGCAACAGGAAAUUUCUCUGAAAAACUUGGAGAAGGAGGUUUCGGCUGUGUUUUCAAGGGGGCAUUGCCAGGAACCUCUCUGGUGGCUGUCAAAAAGCUAAAAGACCUUGGACAGGGGGAGAAGCAAUUCCGAGCGGAAGUGCAGACCAUUGGAAUGAUUCAACACAUUAAUCUUGUUCAUUUAUUUGGUUACUGUGCUGAGGGAAGUAAAAGGUUGCUAGUAUAUGAGUACAUGGAGAAUGGAUCUUUGAACUCUCAUCUUUUUUCAAAGCAUUCUGUAAAAUUAAUCUGGGAGAUCCGUUACCGCAUAGCACUUGGAGCAGCAAGAGGCUUGGCUUAUCUGCAUGAAGAGUGCAAGGAUUGCAUCAUACACUGUGACAUGAAGCCAGACAAUGUACUCCUUGAUGCACAUUUCUGUCCCAAGAUUGCAGACUUUGGUAUGGCGAAACUUCUCGGCCGAGAUUUCAGCAGGGCACUGACGACAAUGAGGGGGACCAUCGGAUAUCUUGCACCGGAGUGGAUCUCGGGGCUUCCGAUCACACGUAAGUCGGAUGUUUACAGCUAUGGGAUGAUGCUUCUUGAAAUCAUAUCGGGGCGACGGAAUUCAGAGAAAAUUAAGGAGGGGAAGUUUACCUACUUUCCCAUCUUUGCUGCACUGAAGGUGAAUGAGGGGGAUAUUAUGUGCCUGUUGGAUAGUGGGCUGGAGGGUGACAUGGACGUGGAACAGCUGGGCCGAGCUUGCAGAGUGGCAUGCUGGUGUAUUCAAGAUGCAGAGGAUCACAGGCCCACAAUGGGGCAAGUUGUGUACAUGCUAGAGGGUGUUCUGGAUGUCGAAAUACCUCCUGUUCCGAGGUCACUGCAGAAUUUUGUGGGCAUGGAGGAUUCCACUUACAGUACAGACUUGUACAUCCUCUGA